CGUGUAGGCGGUCUCUUAAGUCAGAUGUGAAAGCCCGGGGCUUAACCUCGGAAGUGCAUUUGAAACUAAGGGACUUGAGUAUGGGAGAGGGAAGUGGAAUUCCUGGUGUAGCGGUGAAAUGCGUAGAUAUCAGGAGGAACACCGGUGGCGAAGGCGACUUCCUGGACCAAUACUGACGCUGAGGCGCGAAGGCGUGGGGAGCAAACAGGAUUAGAUACCCUGGUAGUCC
Molecule: ribosomal RNA, 229 nt
Filed under: uncultured bacterium
Lineage: Bacteria
Description: partial 16S ribosomal RNA
Rfam family: Bacterial small subunit ribosomal RNA
Source: RNAcentral